Molecule: transfer RNA, 73 nt
Filed under: Hylemonella gracilis ATCC 19624
Lineage: Bacteria; Pseudomonadati; Pseudomonadota; Betaproteobacteria; Burkholderiales; Comamonadaceae
Also listed under: 1 other name
Rfam family: tRNA
About the family: Transfer RNA (tRNA) molecules are approximately 80 nucleotides in length. Their secondary structure includes four short double-helical elements and three loops (D, anti-codon, and T loops). Further hydrogen bonds mediate the characteristic L-shaped molecular structure. tRNAs have two regions of fundamental functional importance: the anti-codon, which is responsible for specific mRNA codon recognition, and the 3' end, to which the tRNAs corresponding amino acid is attached (by aminoacyl-tRNA synthetases). tRNAs cope with the degeneracy of the genetic code in two manners: having more than one tRNA (with a specific anti-codon) for a particular amino acid; and 'wobble' base-pairing, i.e. permitting non-standard base-pairing at the 3rd anti-codon position.
Source: Rfam by way of RNAcentral
GGGACGUUAGCUCAGUCGGUAGAGCAGCGGACUUUUAAUCCGUUGGUCGCAGGUUCGAAUCCUGCACGUCCCA